CCGAUAACAAAACUAAAACCUGGAUUUGACCAUUGCCUGGCAGAGGGCCAAACUCACAGAACAUAAACUUAAAUCUGACCAUUUCCAAGCUUAGGGCCGAAACAAAAAGAAAAACUUGAGCUUUAGGUGUCAGGCGAACUGGGCUUUGGGUGCCAGACAAAACUGGGGUGCCAGGUGAAACUGGGCUUAUGGGCCAGUAUGGAAACUAGGCUUAUGGGCCAGGUGAAACUGGGUUAGGGGGUCAGGCGAGCUGGGCUUAUGUGCCAGGUGAAACUAAGCUUAGGGGCCAGUGUGGAAGUUGGGCUUAUGGGCCAGGUGAAACUAGGCUUAGGGGGCCAGUGUGGAAGCUGGGCUUAUGGGCCAGGUGAAACUAGGCUUAAGGGCCAGUGUGAAAACUGGGCUUAUGGGCCAGUGUGAAAACUGGGCUUGGGGGCCAAGCAAGUUGGGCUUAGGGGCUAGUGUAGAAACUGGG
RNAcentral lists this long non-coding RNA (472 nucleotides) under Vigna radiata. RNAcentral's name for it is "long non-coding RNA (VRAD_LNC012610)". Lineage: Eukaryota; Viridiplantae; Streptophyta; Magnoliopsida; Fabales; Fabaceae. The record is from RNAcentral.